AGCGAACGCUGGCGGCAGGCCUAACACAUGCAAGUCGAACGCCCCUUCGGGGGAGUGGCGGACGGGUGAGUAACACGUGGGAACGUACCUUUUGGUUCGGAACAACUGAGGGAAACUUCAGCUAAUACCGGAUAAGCCCUUUUGGGGAAAGAUUUAUCGCCGAAAGAUCGGCCCGCGUUGGAUUAGGUAGUUGGUGGGGUAAAGGCCUACCAAGCCUACGAUCCAUAGCUGGUCUGAGAGGAUGAUCAGCCACACUGGGACUGAGACACGGCCCAGACUCCUACGGGAGGCAGCAGUGGGGAAUCUUGCGCAAUGGUCGAAAGACUGACGCAGCCAUGCCGCGUGACUGAUGAAGGUCUUAGGAUUGUAAAAUUCUUUUACCGGUGACGAUAAUGACGGUAACCGGAGAAAAAGCCCCGGCUAACUUCGUGCCAGCCGCCGCGGUAA
RNAcentral lists this ribosomal RNA (447 nucleotides) under uncultured bacterium. Its description in RNAcentral is "partial 16S ribosomal RNA". It matches the Rfam family "Bacterial small subunit ribosomal RNA", at positions 29 to 523 of the family's 1533-position model. The record is from RNAcentral.